UACGUAGGUGGCGAGCGUUAUCCGGAAUUAUUGGGCGUAAAGAGCGCGCAGGUGGUUGAUUAAGUCUGAUGUGAAAGCCCACGGCUUAACCGUGGAGGGUCAUUGGAAACUGGUCGACUUGAGUGCAGAAGAGGGAAGUGGAAUUCCAUGUGUAGCGGUGAAAUGCGUAGAGAUAUGGAGGAACACCAGUGGCGAAGGCGGCUUCCUGGUCUGUAACUGACACUGAGGCACGAAAGCGUGGGGAGCAAACAGGAUUAGAUA
This 261-nucleotide ribosomal RNA is filed under the name uncultured prokaryote. RNAcentral's name for it is "partial 16S ribosomal RNA". It matches the Rfam family "Bacterial small subunit ribosomal RNA", at positions 524 to 784 of the family's 1533-position model. The record is from RNAcentral.